AUUUCAUGUACUUUACAACAACACCCGUAUAUCCUAUUCUUGUUUUUGUCAUCACUCACAGUCUCACAUUAUAAAUACCUAGGUUUCCCCAUUUUGCACAGAUUUCAUAGAAAGGGCAAGAAUUUGUUAUUCCUUCACUUUGUUUUGCAGGUUCCUUACUGGGUUAUUUUGGGUCAACAUCUAAUUCAUCUAAACUUUCAAUGGAGGCACACAACGCAGCAAUGAUGACUGGCUCGAAAAAUGUUAUCUUUCUGUCGAGCAUUCUGGGCCAGGAUGGGCCAUAUCCAAACCACAAGUGCGAUUGGAAAUGUCAAAAUGAGCAUGUUUGUGGGAAUAUGUACAGAUGCAAGCUGACUGGGCUGACCCAUAUCUGUGACAAAAACUGUGAUCAGCGAAUUCUCUAUGGAAAUCACGACUCACUGUGCAGAGUCAGUGGGCAGGUCUUCCCACUUUCACCUAUUGAGCAACAAGCUGCAAGAGGUGUUCGUAGGAAGCUUGAAGCUGAAGCUUGCCCUUCCGAAACUUGUUCUUUCAAGCGUCGUCGAGAUGGAAACUUACAUCCGUCCCCAUUUGAGAGAUCUUUCUCCGCUGUCAGCCCUAUCUGCAGUCAAGUUGGAGAUGGCAUGGAGUUGAACUAGAUAACUCAAUAAGCACUACAAGCCUUUUUCUUUCUAACUUUUUUCUAUUGCAUUUAACUUUUUCAUUUUGGUGAACUAUGUGAGAAUCUUAAGUGCGGAACCUAGUGCGCCCCUUAUGUGUGGCAGAAGACUUAUAUUUCUUAAUUUAGGGGUUAUGUAGAAUAAUUUGAGACUUUAAUCUACUUUAAUGUUCUUAUAUUGACAUCUUUCAUGUUUGCUCUAAUUUUUGUUAGUGAUAGUAUUUGUUGGAAAUCUAUUGAUCUUGUAUACUUGCAGCUUUUAAGAUAAUCAUUCCAGACCUUACCUGUCUUCUCUACUUGGUUGAGGGUGGUAUGCCUCAGAUAACCUUAUUUUUGUAAUGAUGCUAUUUCUCUAGGUGCAGCUUAUAUGAUUUUUUUCUUUUGUAACUGGACUGAGUAUCUUCUAUCUCUUUAUCCCCCUUCUUCACCUUAUUCCUUAAAAAUUAAGAAAAAUGAGAAGAGUACAACAACCCUUUGAUACUUCACACUCCAAUAACGACUAAUUGUUUCUGUUUUGACAUGUAUGCCGUUCUUAGUGAUAUUUGCAGGUUUACAAACUCGUCAGGGAAUUCCUAUUUUGCUUAUUGCUGAUUGAUUUCUUCAUGUGUAGUUUCAGCUCAAUGAUAUCACUAAUACGUUUUCUCCUUCCCCUUUCAGGAAUGCUUGGAUAUGGUUAUUUGUGGUUAUGGAGGUGGCCUAAUCAACACCAAUUAGCUGGAUUAAUCUAUGAAUGACCCCUGCUUCCAAAAUUGAAUCCACCAGCUGAAUCUUGUCUAUGUGUCAUGCAUUCUGGAGUUGUUUAGAUUGAGUUGUCUUUACUACUACUACAGUACUUCUACUGCUAUCCUCAAAAUAAGGAGACCACAUGAAUAGUAGGUUGUAAGCUCUAAACAGUAAACGGGUCUGCCAUAACACACUUCAACGGGGCUAAUUCUGAUGUUGAUGCCAUUAUGGAAUGUGAUUGUUUUAUCACUAUCAAUCCUUGAAACACGCUUUGGAGCUUCAGUGACUUUUGGGCUCAGCAUUUUAUCCUAUUCAUGCAUAGUGAUGCAUAUGUGGAUUUUACAAAUUUGAGCAUAGCGACAAACUUGAUGUCUUCAAUGUUUGUCAGUUGCUUCCGUACUAUGAUCUAUCCAUGGUUUAAAUUUGGAAUAGCAUUGCAUAGGAAGGUUUGUGAUAUUAUCAGUACUUGAGUAUAGAAUGCUCCAGCAACAAAACAGGCAGCUCUGAAACACGAAUCUGAGUCCAAGUGCGUGUAUUUGGAGGCUUAAAAGGAGGAAUUAUUGAGAAAAUAUAGGUUCUUGAGCUUACUGCUGCUUUGAUAUUAGGUCUUAAGUUGCAAGGAAUCUACAUUGCGUUUUAGAUUCAUUAAUUACUGUAAUAGAGAGUUCUUAAGCCUGAAGGAUGUAGAAUUUUGUUGAAAGCUUAAAACUAAAGGGACCCAUUAUUGAUAUUAGGCCUAGAUUUAUGAUUAACUUUGUAGGAUGAAUAGUGGUUGACUUAAAUUCAGCUAGGUUCAUUCUUUUUUAUUAGGUAAACUUUUUGUAUAAAUAUGUGGGGUUAUUCCCUAUAUAUUUUAUAUUCCAUGUAAUUUUACGGUGGUUGACUGUAUUUUAUAUUCCAUGUAUUUUUGAUUUAUGAUUAAGUCAAAAAGUUGUUAAUCCUUCAAGUAGCAAAGUAAACGCUGUGGAGAAUUAGUUAAGAUAUUCACUGUUGACGGCUACACUAUGCACGUCUCUCAUACGCUUAAUGUACUAAUUGUGCUGAGAGAAGGGGCAGAAAACGGUGUGGGGAUGAGUAUUGAAUUCAGUUCCGUUGUUAAGAAUACUACUCUAUCUCGCUUGCUUGCUCCCCGGAAUCCUUUCUGUAGUGUCUAUUGAACUUCACCAAGUUUAACGAUGAAGAGUUAUUUGACUUAUACAUGCAGCAACCAAGUCUCGGCUAUUGGCUCAACCAAAAGACACCACAAGAUCUUGCUUCUGUUCCUAUAAUGCUGCCGAGAACACCACCUCCUACUCCGGUAGCAGUUAACACAUCGUUCCAGAUUGAUGAUGCUUUUUCCAAGGCGGUUCUUGAGCUUAAUCAUCAAGAUAUGGCUUCUCAUGUUGCUGACGCACUCGGUGUGAAUGUGAUCAACAAAAACUCUAAGCCAUGGAUUGUCAAGGAAAACGUGGCUGUUUUGUAUGUUAUUGUUUUUACUUUGGGUGUUCUUUGUGGUUUAUUUCUGAUCUAACUUCAUCCACAAACAAUUAAAUGUGGCGACAAUGUAUA
RNA transcript from Amaranthus tricolor (Joseph's coat), 2929 nucleotides. RefSeq lists it as uncharacterized. The record is from RefSeq and is a predicted model, not a curated record. The transcript is spliced from 3 exons. NCBI's taxonomy places the organism in Eukaryota, Viridiplantae, Streptophyta, Magnoliopsida, Caryophyllales, Amaranthaceae.